RNAcentral lists this long non-coding RNA (1664 nucleotides) under Schizosaccharomyces pombe (fission yeast). The record is from RNAcentral. Lineage: Eukaryota; Fungi; Ascomycota; Schizosaccharomycetes; Schizosaccharomycetales; Schizosaccharomycetaceae.
AAUGGAUGGGUAAUGUUUUAAGCAUGGUACAGAGAAAAACAAAUUUGAAAGGCCAUUCAAUGCACAGGAGUAUAGAGAAAGCAAUGUGAAUAAAUAGUAUUAUCAAAGAAUGGAAUAAUGUUUCAUUUGAAGAAAGAAAUGCUCUUCCUAUCGAUGACUGCUUAUCUGAUUAUUACGAAAACACAACUUUAUUCAUCAAUCGUUUGUCGCCGCCGAGGUCAUGUACAUGUCGGUAGCGAAUAAACUCCAAAUGUUCAUAAUUCUAUGAGAAGCCGAGAAUAAGCACAUUAAACCAGCCCACCAUCAGUUGGGUGAAGAAACGCAGUUGGGAUAAGAAAAGCCACUCAUCAUCAUCGACGAGAUAAUGCAGGUCAUUGAACGACGAUAAAAACAAAUACAAAUGUAAAGCUUAAGUUAGUAAUCUAAGAGUAAAUUAUCUAUGCCAUUAAAGAUAAUACAUCACAUGUUUUAGUUCUUGCAAAAUCUAUCUUUUAGCAUUGCUGAUUACCGGGUGUUGGGAAAGAAAAGCAACGGUUGAAUGUCUUGCUUUUCGUUUUUAACGUCCACAACAAAUUGGAAUUGGGGAAGCAUUAGAAACUAAGUUUUUUAAUUACAACAUCUCUCUUAGUUACCACCCGGCUAAUUGUAGUUUUUUCGGACAAAUUCAAAAAACAAAAAACAAAAAAACCAUUCUGUUCAUUUUAUAGAUAAUACCAGAUUGGAUUUCAAACAAAUCGACUACCUAAUGCACCUUCAAACACUUGAUGUAACAACUAGCAAAAAACUGCUAUCUUUGACAUACAUUGUAUACUCCAGAAUGAUAGUGUUGUAACCUUAUACUACCAAAUUUUAUACGAAUUUGUUAUCCUACAAAGCUGAAUACCUCGAAUUUGCUUUCCUACUAUGUCAAACGUAUAAAGUGAAUAUACUGUUUAGCUUUUAAAAAUUAGAGUAAACUGUUUAGUGUUUAAGCUAGAAGAAACUGAUUUGUCUUUAUAUUAGAAUACAUUAGGUUGUCAUUAGAACUAGCUUCCAUUAGAUUGAUUGUCUUUAUACUAGCUUACUUGCCUUGAAUUCAAAUCUUGACAAACGUAAACUUAGCGAACAUCGGAAAAAUACCCACAUACAACAGGUAAAAAGACUUAACACCUCCUACCCCUUUGUAGGUAGUAUACGAUUAUCGAGACAUAGUGUGCAAUGCAAUCCAUUACAUUGUCAAGUGCUUUCUCAGCAACAUUGCACUUACAAACCCUUCGAUGCUCUUCUGCAAAGCUCUUUGCUUCUCUUUAAAACUCGGAGCUCAUCUGUAAAGCUUACACUACUUUGUAACUGCCGUUCUUGCACACACCAAAGAUAAUGAUGGGUAGUUUUGUUAGCGACUAAAUUGAAUGAAAAAAUUUACCACGUCCAUGUCCAUACAAACACCGUAUCAGUACGUAUUCAAUGAUAAAAUCCAUUUCAAAAUGAUCAAACUAUGUAGUAACAAUCACGCGGUUGGCGUUCUAAGAGAAACAACUAUCAACCUAAAAAAGAGACACAUUAUACGAUUACUUUCUCUCCAGCUCCAUCCAUAAGCUUGCCACCACUUCUUUCCAAGUGUGGAAGAUGUUGACGGUGUAGUAAAAACGUAAAUUUCCUUCCAAGUCUUGGCUUGGCUUAAUUUG